Molecule: transfer RNA, 73 nt
Filed under: Candidatus Eiseniibacteriota bacterium
Lineage: Bacteria; Candidatus Eiseniibacteriota
Description: tRNA-Ala
Rfam family: tRNA
About the family: Transfer RNA (tRNA) molecules are approximately 80 nucleotides in length. Their secondary structure includes four short double-helical elements and three loops (D, anti-codon, and T loops). Further hydrogen bonds mediate the characteristic L-shaped molecular structure. tRNAs have two regions of fundamental functional importance: the anti-codon, which is responsible for specific mRNA codon recognition, and the 3' end, to which the tRNAs corresponding amino acid is attached (by aminoacyl-tRNA synthetases). tRNAs cope with the degeneracy of the genetic code in two manners: having more than one tRNA (with a specific anti-codon) for a particular amino acid; and 'wobble' base-pairing, i.e. permitting non-standard base-pairing at the 3rd anti-codon position.
Source: RNAcentral
GGGGCCGUAGCUCAGAUGGGAGAGCGCAUGACUGGCAGUCAUGAGGUCGAGGGUUCGAUCCCCUUCGGCUCCA